AAUAGAUACCCGGGUAGUCCACGCCGUAAACGUUGGGCGCUAGAUGUGGGGACCAUUCCACGGUUUCCGUGUCGCAGCUAACGCAUUAAGCGCCCCGCCUGGGGAGUACGGCCGCAAGGCUAAAACUCAAAGGAAUUGACGGGGGCCCGCACAAGCGGCGGAGCAUGCGGAUUAAUUCGAUGCAACGCGAAGAACCUUACCAAGGCUUGACAUAUACGAGAACGCUCUAGAAAUAGAGAACUCUUUGGACACUCGUAUACAGGUGGUGCAUGGUUGUCGUCAGCUCGUGUCGUGAGAUGUUGGGUUAAGUCCCGCAACGAGCGCAACCCUCGUUCUAUGUUGCCAGCGGUUCGGCCGGGAACUCAUAGGAGACUGCCGGGGUCAACUCGGAGGAAGGUGGGGAUGACGUCAAAUCAUCAUGCCCCUUAUGUCUUGGGCUUCACGCAUGCUACAAUGGCCGGUACAAAGGGCUGCAAUACCGCAAGGUGGAGCGAAUCCCAAAAAGCCGGUCUCAGUUCGGAUUGAGGU
RNAcentral lists this ribosomal RNA (528 nucleotides) under uncultured bacterium. RNAcentral describes it as "bacterial SSU rRNA". It matches the Rfam family "Bacterial small subunit ribosomal RNA", at positions 777 to 1304 of the family's 1533-position model. The record is from RNAcentral.